CAGAAAAUAGUUUAAAUAAAACAUUAGGUUUGGAGUCUAAAGAUUCAUUAUUUUCUGA
RNAcentral lists this transfer RNA (58 nucleotides) under Olivierus martensii (Chinese scorpion). RNAcentral's name for it is "Mesobuthus martensii (Chinese scorpion) tRNA-Pro". Lineage: Eukaryota; Metazoa; Arthropoda; Arachnida; Scorpiones; Buthidae. The record is from RNAcentral.